AGGAGGAGCCUCUAAUACUGAACAUGCAGAGGUCUUCGAUUCCCGGAGCAUCUAUUUAAUUCUUCUCCAACAGCUAUAUCAGAAUAUUCUUUAUAUCUCUUGUCAAUAAACAAAUGUUUUGGAAAUUUAAAGCAACUAAUUCAAUAUUGGUCAUGUCAUCAGUGCUCAGGGUACUUGGGCAUGGAACAGGAGGAAGGGGAGGCGCGCCACCUGUGAGGAGAUAGCUCUUCGGCUAUGAGACAAUUCUAUUCAGCAUCCAGGGGAAGCAGCCAUCUUCGGCUUUGUCGUUCAUGCAUCUUAUGGCACAUUUAAGUAAAAUCUCGGACAAGAAGACAACCAGAGAGAGGAGAAAGGAACAAGUUCUGUAUUUUGUUGGUUACUAUUGAACAUCAAGUCUUAGUGAUUUUAACUUUCUAUAUAAAAUAAAUUCACUAAGAGCAAUUUUAUUGCUUAAGUUACUAAUCGGACAUAUGUAGCUGUAAUUAAAAUGAAGUAAUCGGUAGUUCAUGGUUUGGUCGACAUGGUCCAACCACGACCGCGACCGGAAGCACGGCCAGAAAAGCUAGGUGGCAUGUAUAUCAUCAUUCUUCUCGCUCCACCUUUUCUUUUUGCUUGAUACGUCUCCUCUGCACCAUUUAUAUAUAAAUUAAUUAAUCAUACACAUAAAACCACUUGCAAACAAUUUGUGCUCUCUCCCUAAGAACUCAAGGACAUUAAGGGCCACCAGUCCUACGGUAAUUCGGAUGAAACAUUCGCCUCAAGCCUCUAAAAUUUCCGGAAAAAAAAUCAUAUAUAAAUAAGUUCCUAACUUUGUUAAAAGAAAAUUGAAACCCUCAAAUUAUUGAAAUCUUUCUUUAGACCGUCUAUAGUUCCCAACUGAACUAUGCAAUGAGAAAUGAUGCAAUAGGAAGUUUUUAACUGAACUCCUAAAUGGGUUUGUGGUUUUAUAUGGAUAGUAAGCUACUGUUCUUUAGCUUUGUCGACUAAGUUGUAAAUAAAAAGAGAGUAAAAACAAACCACACAGCUUGACUCACCGGCUGGUAAAGGUGUGACGAACGAGUUCUCAGUAGAAGACAAAAGCAGCAACGUUACUGAUAAUAAGCACAGACACAUUUUCGCAGUAUCCA
RNAcentral lists this long non-coding RNA (1127 nucleotides) under Brassica napus (rape). Its description in RNAcentral is "long non-coding RNA (BNAP_LNC019316)". Lineage: Eukaryota; Viridiplantae; Streptophyta; Magnoliopsida; Brassicales; Brassicaceae. The record is from RNAcentral.